GAUGAACGCUGGCGGCGUGCCUAACACAUGCAAGUCGAACGGAGUCGUUUUUGAAAUCUCUUCGGAGAUGGAAUUCUCGACUUAGUGGCGGACGGGUGAGUAACGCGUGAGCAAUCUGCCUUUAAGAGGGGGAUAACAGUCGGAAACGGCUGCUAAUACCGCAUAAAGCAUUAAAUUCGCAUGUUUUUGAUGCCAAAGGAGCAAUCCGCUUUUAGAUGAGCUCGCGUCUGAUUAGCUAGUUGGCGGGGUAACGGCCCACCAAGGCGACGAUCAGUAGCCGGACUGAGAGGUUGAACGGCCACAUUGGGACUGAGACACGGCCCAGACUCCUACGGGAGGCAGCAGUGGGGAAUAUUGCGCAAUGGGGGAAACCCUGACGCAGCAACGCCGCGUGAUUGAAGAAGGCCUUCGGGUUGUAAAGAUCUUUAAUCAGGGACGAAACAAAUGACGGUACCUGAAGAAUAAGCGCCGGCUAACUACGUG
RNAcentral lists this ribosomal RNA (483 nucleotides) under uncultured bacterium. RNAcentral's name for it is "partial 16S ribosomal RNA". It matches the Rfam family "Bacterial small subunit ribosomal RNA", at positions 28 to 507 of the family's 1533-position model. The record is from RNAcentral.